UAAUACGAAGGGGGCUAGCGUUGUUCGGAAUUACUGGGCGUAAAGCGCGCGCAGGCGGCCAUUCAAGUCAGGGGUGAAAGCCCAGAGCUCAACUCUGGAACUGCCCUUGAAACUGUAUGGCUUGAGUAUGAGAGAGGUGAGUGGAAUUCCCAGUGUAGAGGUGAAAUUCGUAGAUAUUGGGAAGAACACCGGUGGCGAAGGCGGCUCACUGGCUCAUUACUGACGCUCAGGCGCGACAGCGUGGGGAUCAAACAGG
This 256-nucleotide ribosomal RNA is filed under the name uncultured bacterium. RNAcentral's name for it is "partial 16S ribosomal RNA". It matches the Rfam family "Bacterial small subunit ribosomal RNA", at positions 521 to 776 of the family's 1533-position model. The record is from RNAcentral.